GGACCCGGCUGCGGAGAUUUCUGCGGCCUCGGCUCAGGGCCCACUCACUGUGCUAUGCUUACUUCGAGCACUGGGGCCAGGGCACCCUGGUCACCGUCUCCUCAGGGACCCUGGUCACCGUCUCCCAAGGGAGCCCGGGGCAAUGUGACUACUUCGAUGUAUGGGGCCAGGGCACCCUGGUCACCGUCUCCUCAGGAUGGCGAUUGCACCGUUGUGAUUACUACGGUAUGGACUACUGGGGCCAGGGGACCCUGGUCACCGUCUCCUCAGCCUCCACCACGGCCCCGUCGGUCUUCCCGCUGUCCGCCAAAUGUGGCACCACUUCCAGCUCCACGGUGUCCCUGGGCUGCCUGGUCUCUGGCUACUUCCCGGAGCCCGUGACUGUGACCUGGAACUCGGGCUCCCUGACCAGCGGGGUGCACACCUUCCCAUCCGUCCUCCGCUCGGGCCUCUACUCUAUGAGCAGCAUGGUGACAGUGCCCGCCAGCUCGUCCAGCCAGACCUUCAUCUGCAACGUAGCCCACCCGGCCAGCAGCACCAAGGUGGACAAGCCCGUGCCCUUAUUUUCCGGACCUCCCCCCACCUCUUGCCCGCCUCACACGUGCCCACCUUGUGAGAACCCGGGAGGGCCCUCGGUCUUCAUCUUCCCCCCGAAACCCAAGGACACCCUCAUGAUCUCCCGGACACCCGAGGUCACGUGCAUGGUGGUGGACGUGGCCCCGGAUGACCUGGAAGUCGAGUUCACCUGGUACGUGGACGACCAACGGAUGAACACGGAGAAGGUGAAGGCGCAGCAGCAGCUGUUCAACAGCACCUACCGCGUGGUCAACUCCUUCGCCAUCGCGCACCAGGACUGGCUAAAGGGCAAGGUGUUCAAGUGCAAGGUCAACAACAAGGCCAUCCCGUCCCCCAUCGAGAGGACCAUCUCCAAGGCCAUAGGGCAAGUCCGGGAGCCGCAGGUGUACGUCCUGGGCCCACACUCGGACGAGUUGGCCAGGGACAAGGUCAGCGUGACCUGCCUGGUCAAAGACUUCUUCCCGCCGGACAUCAGCGUGGAGUGGCAGAGCAACGGGCGGCCAGAGCCUGAGACCAAGUACUCCUCGACCCCGCCCCAGAAGGACCAGGAGGGCUCCUUCUUCCUGUACAGCAAGCUCACCGUGGACAAGGCCCGCUGGCAGCGGGGGGACCCCUUCACGUGCGAGGUGAUGCACGAGGGCCUGCACAACCACUACGCCCAGAAGACCGUCUCCCGGAACCCGGGUAAAUGAGCAGCGCGCCCGGCGCCCGGCAACCCCCCGUGUACAUACCCUCGGGCACCCAGCAUUCAAUAAAGCACCCAGCGCGACCCUGGGACCCUGCGA
Non-coding RNA from Myotis brandtii (Brandt's bat), 1361 nucleotides. The record is from the annotation of a RefSeq genome assembly. Lineage: Eukaryota; Metazoa; Chordata; Mammalia; Chiroptera; Vespertilionidae.